Molecule: ribosomal RNA, 192 nt
Filed under: uncultured bacterium
Lineage: Bacteria
Description: partial 16S ribosomal RNA
Rfam family: Bacterial small subunit ribosomal RNA
Source: RNAcentral
GCAACUCGACUGCAUGAAGCUGGAAUCGCUAGUAAUCGCGAAUCAGCAUGUCGCGGUGAAUACGUUCUCGGGCCUUGUACACACCGCCCGUCACACCAUGGGAGUCGGCAACACCCGAAGUCAGUAGGCUAACGCAAGAGGCCGCUGCCGAAGGUGGGGUUGACGAUUGGGGUGAAGUCGUAACAAGGUACC